CGAGGUGCAGCGUUACUCGGAAUUACUGGCGUAAGCGUGCGUAGGUGGUUGUUAAGUCUGAUGUGAAAGCCCUGGGCUCAACCUGGGAAUGGCAUUGGAUACUGGCAGGCUAGAGUGCGGUAGAGGGUAGUGGAAUUCCCGGUGUAGCAGUGAAAUGCGUAGAGAUCGGGAGGAACAUCUGUGGCGAAGGCGACUACCUGGACCAGCACUGACACUGAGGCACGAAAGCGUGGGAGCAAACAGGAUU
Molecule: ribosomal RNA, 247 nt
Filed under: uncultured bacterium
Lineage: Bacteria
Description: partial 16S ribosomal RNA
Rfam family: Bacterial small subunit ribosomal RNA
Source: RNAcentral